Molecule: long non-coding RNA, 1448 nt
Organism: Ailuropoda melanoleuca (giant panda)
Lineage: Eukaryota; Metazoa; Chordata; Mammalia; Carnivora; Ursidae
Exons: 5
Source: RefSeq, a predicted model, not a curated record
CGCAAUCUGGGCUGCGCUCCCUUGGGCUUCCGGGCUUCCUUCUAAAUUGGCUGCUCGGCUGCAAAGCCGUCAGCCCUUUCCGUGCUCGCUGGCGAGCGGGGGAGAGCGGGCGAGCGGGGAAGAGCCGCCGGCGGCCGGCGCGCCGCUCGCGGGCGGAAACGCGUGGGCUCCGAGCGCUGCGCUCGCGUCGGCCGCGCCUCGGCUCGGCGGAAGGGCGCCAGCGUUCCCGGCUUUGGUCUUCGAAGUCUUUCUUUUCACUAGGAAAGGUAUGGAGAAAAGAAUGCCCGCUCUCGUUCUCCAACCGCUCAGUCAACACCACUAGCGGGCGUCUUUAGUGACGAGCUUGGAGUGCCCCCCUGUGUAAGGAGAUGAGCACUGCAAUUGCCUUCUUACAGCAGAUAUGUCUGACUGCAAAUCCCAGACUCUGCAAGCUUCCCACCAACUCCUGGAGGAAACGUAGCUAAUACUCAUAGAAGGUUGCCUACUACUAGACCCUCUGAAGUUGAGCACAGAGAAGACAUUUAAGUACCCAGGAGCCCAGAACAGAUAUUGGCCUCACCCUAAGGGUAAAUGAAUGAAAUCACCAAGACUAUCAUAGCUGUAUGAAGGUGGUAACUGGAUGUUCUCCAAGAAGAAAUAACAGAUGAAAGUGCCUGAGUCAUUCGAACCAAGUUUCAAGUAAGAAGGAGUCCUUUGUAACUUCCUGCUUCGGGAAUUUUUACCAAGCUGCAAACAUGUAAAUAGGAAGUCAGAAGCUCUUCUGGUCUUUUGAAAAACCUGAGUCCAUAGAAGACAUUACCCUGGAUGUCUUGGAGGGGAAGAAGAGAGAGAAAAGCAUUUUUAAAAUCAGAAAAGAGACAGCAAGCUGAGAUUCUGAGAGAUUAGGCAGGGGACAAAGGUCAGUGUGUUCUGUGGAGUUCCUGAGACUUGCGGCACGUCUUGAUGGCCGAGUCCGUAGGACAAAGCGAGACCUCCGAGGGAAAGAUUUACAGUGCUCCUGAGGACGACAGACCCUAUGCACAGGGGCCGGAAGAGUCCCCGCAAAAUUCUGCUUCCCCAGGCAUGGUCCAGAAGCACCUAAGCCCUCAGACCAUGCUGACGAGACACAGGCAUGCCCCCAGAAACCAGGGUGGGCCAUUGGUCACUGAUCAGACAGUGUCUCCCCAGAAACUUAUCACAGUCCUGUGGCCAGAGCCAAACAAGACAGUGAGUGAAUUCUCUGCCUGUUCUGCGGGAUGUGGGCAAAGAGUCAGAUUUCAGUUGGUUUAGGGAAAAUAAAGAAAUGUGGUAUUUCCUACACAGCUGUUUGUGACCUGAAAUUCAUUCCCAUAGCAAUAGGCAUCUGGAAGGGAUGGAUAGCAUCCCCUGACUUUCACAGACACAGUUUUGGUGACCAGAAGAAAUAAAUUCAGGGGCGCCUGGGUGGUUCAGUCAGUUAAACGCCUGCC